Molecule: unclassified non-coding RNA, 359 nt
Filed under: uncultured bacterium
Lineage: Bacteria
Description: contains 16S-23S intergenic spacer region
Source: RNAcentral
UGAUCUUCUCGCUGGCCUACCUGGUGCACCUGGUGCAGCGCUCCGAAAUGAAGCCCGCGGCGGUGGUCGGAGCUUCGGCGGCGAUCUCGGUGGCCCUGGUGUACCCGGUCAUCAACCGGAACCUCCUGGAGCAGCGGCCCCUCCCCCUGGAGAACCGGAUUACUGCCGCCUCCCUCGAAGACCGCACGGUUCCGUCGGAUGUCAUCUUCUCGGACCAGCCGUGGUUCGUGGCGUGGUAUGCAGACCGCCCCUCGAUCUGGCUGCCGACCGACGAGAAGACCGGCGAGCUCGCGGACCGUUUUGCGCCGCGGCGAUGGAUCUUUCUAACCGAUGGAGCGGAGGCGCACUCGCCCGCCUGG